AUUGAACGCUAGCGGCAUGCUUAACACAUGCAAGUCGAACGGUAACAGGCCUAGCUUGCUAGGCGCUGACGAGUGGCGGACGGGUGAGUAACGCGUAGGAAUCUACCUUGCAGAGGGGAAUAACCUGGGGAAACUCAGGCUAAUACCGCAUAAGCCCUAAGGGGGAAAGCAGGGGACUGUAACAGGCCUUGCACUAUGAGAUGAGCCUACGUCGGAUUAGCUAGUUGGUAGGGUAAAGGCCUACCAAGGCGAAGAUCCGUAGCUGGUCUGAGAGGACGACCAGCCACACUGGGACUGAGACACGGCCCAGACUCCUACGGGAGGCAGCAGUGGGGAAUAUUGGACAAUGGGCGCAAGCCUGAUCCAGCAAUGCCGCGUGUGUGAAGAAGGCCUGCGGGUUGUAAAGCACUUUCAGUGGGGAGGAACGUUUUUAGCACUAAUACUGCUAAGAGGUGACGCUACCCAAAGAAGAAGCACCGGCUAACUCUGUGCCAGCCGCCGCAGUAA
RNAcentral lists this ribosomal RNA (507 nucleotides) under uncultured bacterium. Its description in RNAcentral is "partial 16S ribosomal RNA". It matches the Rfam family "Bacterial small subunit ribosomal RNA", at positions 30 to 523 of the family's 1533-position model. The record is from RNAcentral.